AGACCGGUGCCAGCCGCCGCGGUAAUACCGGCAGCUCAAGUGAUGUCCCAUAUUAUUGGGCCUAAAGCGUCCGUAGCUGGCCAACCAAGUCUAUCGGGAAAUCCACCCGCCCAACGGGUGGGCGUCCGGUAGAAACUGGCUGGCUUGGAACCGGAAGGCUCAGAGAGUACGUCCGGGGUAGGAGUGAAAUCCCGUAAUCCCGGACGGACUACCGAUGGCGAAAGCACUCUGAGAAGACGGAUUCGACAGUGAGGGACGAAAGCUCGGGUCUCAAACCGGAUUAGAUACCCGGGUAGUCCGAGCCGUAAACGAUGCUCGUUAGGUGUGGCACCCACUACGAGUGGGUGCUGCGCCGUAGGGAAGCCGCUAAACGAGCCGCCUGGGAAGUACGUCCGCAAGGAUGAAACUUAAAGGAAUUGGCGGGGGAGCACUACAACCGGAGGAGCCUGCGGUUUAAUUGGACUCAACGCCGGACAUCUCACCAGCCCCGACAUCAGUAAUGACAGUCAUGUUGACGACAUCUGCCCGAGCUGAUGAGAGGAGGUGCAUGGCCGCCGUCAGCUCGUACCGUGAGGCAUCCUGUUAAGUCAGGCAACGAGCGAGAUCCACAUCCCUAAUUGCCAGCACCACCGCCAGGUGGGUGGGUACAUUAGGGAGACUGCCGCUGCUAAAGCGGAGGAAGGAAUGGGCAACGGUAGGUCAGUAUGCCCCGAAUGGGCUGGGCAACACGCGGGCCACAAUGGUCAGGACAACGGGUUCCAACACUGAAAAGUGACGGUAAUCUCGCAAACCUGGUCGUAGUUCGGAUUGUGGGCUGAAACUCGCCCACAUGAAGCUGGAUUCGGUAGUAAUCGCGUGUCAGAAGCGCGCGGUGAAUACGUCCCUGCUCCUUGCACACACCGCCCGUCAAAGCACCCGAGUGAGGUCCGGAUGAGGCCACAUCACUGUGGUCGAAUCUGGGCUUCGCAA
RNAcentral lists this ribosomal RNA (969 nucleotides) under uncultured archaeon. RNAcentral describes it as "bacterial SSU rRNA". It matches the Rfam family "Archaeal small subunit ribosomal RNA", at positions 449 to 1421 of the family's 1478-position model. The record is from RNAcentral.